GCGGGGAUGGCCGAGCGGUACGGCGAUGGCCUGCUAAGCCAUUGGGCUAUUGCCCGCGGGGGUUCAAAUCCCCCUCCCCGCGCUA
RNAcentral lists this transfer RNA (85 nucleotides) under Aciduliprofundum boonei T469. RNAcentral describes it as "tRNA-Ser". It matches the Rfam family "tRNA". Rfam says of the family: Transfer RNA (tRNA) molecules are approximately 80 nucleotides in length. Lineage: Archaea; Methanobacteriati; Thermoplasmatota. The record is from RNAcentral.